This is a long non-coding RNA of Magnolia sinica, 594 nucleotides long. RefSeq lists it as uncharacterized. The transcript has 4 exons. NCBI's taxonomy places the organism in Eukaryota, Viridiplantae, Streptophyta, Magnoliopsida, Magnoliales, Magnoliaceae. The record is from RefSeq and is a predicted model, not a curated record.
UUUUCGUAUAAGAUUUGAGUUCAGGCCGGUAAUUGGAGCUCGUCGAAACCAGGCUGACUUAGCUGAGUCAGCGAGGCAAUUAGUGAAUUUUAAAAUUGCCACAUUAGAUCUGAUUAUGGAAACAAAUUUUAUCAUAUAGCUGGAGCUUCGGAUCUUUGUGCAUCUUGCAAACUGUUAGAGCAUGUUGAAUGCAUUCAAGGCUGGUGGGAAUUUCCAUUCAAGGAUGGCAAUGAAUAUGUACCCACAUAUUCGUAAGGUUGUAGAGGAAAAAAGGGUGCUGAUUGAAUGGUACCCUCAACCCAGGGAAGACAAACCUCCAGUUCCUCUAUUAAAAAAAGGAUGCCUUUGCUUUUGAGAGAUGAAAAGCGAAAAUGCUCAACUUCACUAUUGCAUAUGGGAAAACUCUUGUUGCCUGGCCCAUGAUUGGAAGUGACGCUACCAAAGAGCAUGAAGGCAAAUGGGGUAUGAAAUAAUUAACAAAGGAUGCGUUUAGUAGCAGGGUGCAUGUAAGAGUUGUUGGAGCUUGCUAUUCCUUCAUUGUUGUUGAGAUGAUUAUACUUAUAUGUAUAUAAUAUGGAAUAAUGUCUAUGGUUA